This 402-nucleotide ribosomal RNA is filed under the name uncultured bacterium. RNAcentral's name for it is "bacterial SSU rRNA". It matches the Rfam family "Bacterial small subunit ribosomal RNA", at positions 360 to 776 of the family's 1533-position model. The record is from RNAcentral.
AAUUUUACACAAUGGGGGAAACCCUGAUGUAGCGACACCGCGUGAGCGAAGAAGCCCUUUGGGGUGUAAAGCUCUGUCAGCAGGGACGAAAUCAAUGACGGUACCUGCAGAGGAAGCAUCGGCUAACUACGUGCCAGCAGCCGCGGUAAGACGUAGGAUGCGAGCGUUGUCCGGAUUUAUUGGGCGUAAAGAGUUCGUAGGCUGUUCGUUAAGUCUGGUGUAAAAGACUGGGGCUCAACCCUGGGAUCGCACUGGAUACUGGCGGACUGGAGUGCAGUAGAGGCAAGCGGAAUUCCCAGUGUAGCGGUGAAAUGCGUAGAUAUUGGGAAGAACACCGGUGGCGCAAGCGGCUUGCUGGGCUGUAACUGACGCUGAGGAACGAAAGCUAGGGGAGCAAAUGGG